This is a long non-coding RNA of Ictalurus punctatus (channel catfish), 730 nucleotides long. NCBI's taxonomy places the organism in Eukaryota, Metazoa, Chordata, Actinopteri, Siluriformes, Ictaluridae. The record is from Ensembl.
AAAAGGCCUGAUCUCAUCUGACCUCGGAAGCAAAGCAGAGUUUGGGCCUGUUAGUACUUGGUUGGGAGACUGAAUGGGAAUACUAGGUGCUGUAAGCUUUUUAUUUGGAUCAGUGUUUCAUGGCCUCUGCACAAAAUCCUGUUUUGGGAUAAAGGUUGGACACAGGUUUGAAGGGGACCCAAUCAAUCAAUCAAUCAGUCAGUCAGUCAGUCAGUCAGUCAGUCAGUCUUUUGAUUACACUAUUUAAAUAGCCCCAUUUGGGGUCAGCUUUCGCUUACGGCCAUACCACUCUGAAAAAGCCUGAUCUCAUCUGACCUCGGAAGCAAAGCAGAGUUGGGCCUGGUUAGUACUUGGUUGGGAGACUGAAUGGGAAUACUAGGUGCUGUAAGCUUUUUAUUUGGAUCAGUGUUUUCAUGGCCUCUGCACAACAUCCUGUUUUGGGAUAAAGGUUGGACACAGGUUUGAAGGGGACCCAAUCAAUCAAUCAAUCAGUCAGUCAGUCAGUCAUCUUUUUGAUUACACUAUUUAAAUAGCCCCCAUUUGGGGUCAGCUUUCGCUUACGGCCAUACCACUCUGAAAAAGCCUGAUCUCAUCUGACCUCGGAAGCAAAGCAGAGUUGGGCCUGGUUAGUACUUGGUUGGGAGACUGAAUGGGAAUACUAGGUGCUGUAAGCUUUUUAUUUGGAUCAGUGUUUUCAUGGCCUCUGCACAACAUCCUGUUUGGGAUAAAG